Molecule: non-coding RNA, 154 nt
Organism: Camelina sativa (false flax)
Lineage: Eukaryota; Viridiplantae; Streptophyta; Magnoliopsida; Brassicales; Brassicaceae
Source: RefSeq, a predicted model, not a curated record
CAAGGGUGGUGGAGCUCUUAGCGCUGUUGCAGCUACGAAAAGUCCUGUGAUAUUCAUCGGAACAGGAGAGCAUAUGGAUGAGUUUGAAGUGUUUGAUGUCAAGCCAUUUGUCAGCCGUCUCUUAGGAAUGGGUGAUUGGUCUGGAUUCGUGGAU